AGGAUGAACGCUGGCGGCGUGCCUAACACAUGCAAGUCGAACGUCCUGUCUCGCAAGAGGCAGGGAGUGGCGGACGGGUGAGUACCACGUGGGUCAUCUACCGUGAGGUGAGGAAUACCGGCGAGAAAUCGCCGACAAGACCGCAUAGGCUCGAUGCAAGUCGAGCAAAGCUCUUUCGAGAGAGGGAGCGCCACACGAGGAGCCUGCGCCCGAUUAGCUAGCUGGUGGAGUAACGGUUCACCAGGGCGACGAUCGGUAGCUGGUCUGAGAGGACGAUCAGCCACACUGGAUUGAGAACGGCCCAGACUCCUACGGGGGCAGCAGUGAGGAAUUUUCGUCAAUGGGGGAAACCCUGAACGAGCAACGCCGCGUGCAGGAAGAAGGUUUUCGGAUCGUAAACUGCUUUUUCUGUGGGAAGAGAACGGACGGUACCACGAGGAAGAAGCCCCGGAUAACCUACGUGCCAGCAGCCGC
RNAcentral lists this ribosomal RNA (474 nucleotides) under uncultured bacterium. Its description in RNAcentral is "SSU rRNA". It matches the Rfam family "Bacterial small subunit ribosomal RNA", at positions 26 to 518 of the family's 1533-position model. The record is from RNAcentral.